Microgenomates group bacterium RBG_19FT_COMBO_39_10 is the source of this 74-nucleotide non-coding RNA. The record is from Rfam.
GCGCCUGUAGCUCAACGGAUUAGAGCACUUGUCUUCGGAACAAGGGGUUGGGGGUUCGAUUCCCUCCAGGCGCG